UGGGGAAUAUUGCACAAUGGGGGAAACCCUGAUGCAGCGACGCCGCGUGAAGGAAGAAGUAUCUCGGUAUGUAAACUUCUAUCAGCAGGGAAGAAAAUGACGGUACCUGACUAAGAAGCCCGGCUAACUACGUGCC
RNAcentral lists this ribosomal RNA (136 nucleotides) under uncultured bacterium. Its description in RNAcentral is "partial 16S ribosomal RNA". It matches the Rfam family "Bacterial small subunit ribosomal RNA", at positions 355 to 509 of the family's 1533-position model. The record is from RNAcentral.